Zingiber officinale is the source of this 107-nucleotide small nucleolar RNA. NCBI's taxonomy places the organism in Eukaryota, Viridiplantae, Streptophyta, Magnoliopsida, Zingiberales, Zingiberaceae. The record is from RefSeq and is a predicted model, not a curated record.
AAUUCAUGAUGUGAGCAUUAUUACAAUAGCCCCUUAAAUUUAUCUUAUGCCUCAAACAAAGAUUUCUCUUCCUUUUAUGUAAAACUUGUGAUUUGAUUUUUCAGAUG